Molecule: ribosomal RNA, 404 nt
Filed under: uncultured Methylocystaceae bacterium
Lineage: Bacteria; Pseudomonadati; Pseudomonadota; Alphaproteobacteria; Hyphomicrobiales; Methylocystaceae
Description: bacterial SSU rRNA
Rfam family: Bacterial small subunit ribosomal RNA
Source: RNAcentral
GGGGAAUAUUGGACAAUGGGCGCAAGCCUGAUCCAGCCAUGCCGCGUGAGUGAUGAAGGCCUUAGGGUUGUAAAGCUCUUUCGCCAGGGACGAUAAUGACGGUACCUGGAUAAGAAGCCCCGGCUAACUUCGUGCCAGCAGCCGCGGUAAUACGAAGGGGGCUAGCGUUGUUCGGAUUUACUGGGCGUAAAGCGCACGUAGGCGGAUCUUUAAGUCAGGGGUGAAAUCCCGAGGCUCAACCUCGGAACUGCCUUUGAUACUGGAGGUCUCGAGUCCGGGAGAGGUGAGUGGAACUGCGAGUGUAGAGGUGAAAUUCGUAGAUAUUCGCAAGAACACCAGUGGCGAAGGCGGCUCACUGGCCCGGUACUGACGCUGAGGUGCGAAAGCGUGGGGAGCAAACAGGA